CUAAAUGCUCGUGUUAUUGCCCUUGACUUGAGCUGCAGUUGGCUAUAUGGUAACUUCCCUUCCAAUACCACUCUCUUCCUUCUUCCUCACCUUCAAAAACUCAACCUUGCUUACAAUGAUUUCAAUGAUUCCAAAAUUCCAUCUGAAUUUGGUCAGUUUACAAGCCUAUUCUACCUCAACCUUUCCAGUACAGGGUUUGUAGGAGAAGUCCCUUCCCAAGUCUCCCACCUGUCAAAAUUGGUUUCACUUGAUCUCUCGUGGAAUAUUCCCCAAAGAAUUGACAAACAUGCUGUGGAGGGACUUGUUCACAACCUAACCGAGGUUAGACAUCUGUUUUUGGAUGGAAUCAACAUGUCUUCUACUAAUCCUCUUGUCUUCAUGAAUCUAUCCUCUUCUCUAAGGUCUCUCAGUCUUGCUCCUUGUCAUUUGCAAGGAAAAUUCCCAAAAAACAUUUUUGAUUUGCCAAACCUCAAUUUCCUCAACUUGGGGCGCAACGAAAACCUCAAUCUUGAUCUUUUGAAGUUCAAUCGGAGUAGCAAUCUUGAACAUUUGGAUCUGUCGUCCAUGUCCUUCUCUGCAGGAUUGAUUGAUUCAGUUGAUAAUCUACAGGCCUUAAAGUACUUAGAUCUAUCAGGAAAUUCUUUCUUUCAAGUAUUUUCUGUCUCAAUCACAAAUUUAUCAUCUUUGGAGUACUUGAUUAUUAGGGAGGCAAAUUUAUUUACAGGAUUGCCUGACUCGACGGGGAAUCUUGUGUUCUUGAAGUUUUUAGAUAUCUCUUAUUCCAACUUGUCAGGAUUGAUUCCAAGAUCACUGGGAAACCUCUUGCAACUCACUGAUUUAGACUUGUCGAUCAACCAAUUGAGUGGACAAAUUCCAAGAUCAUUGGGGAACCUCUUGCAACUCACUGAUUUAAACUUGCAUGGGAACCAAUUGAGUGGACAAAUUCCAUUAUCAAUUCUAAACCUAACGCAGCUUGAAUACUUGGAAAUAGCUGAAAAUUCAUUAGAAGGUUCCAUUCCAGAUGAGGAAACCGCUUUUCCUAAUCUAAUAUCUUUAGACUUAUCUGACAAUUUACUAAAUGGAAGCCUUCCGUCAUGGUGGUAUACUGCUCCCUCCUUAAAGCACAUAUGUCUCUCACAAAAUCAUGUCAGUGGGCAUAUCAAAGAAUUCCAAUCCAAAUCACUAGAAUGGACAUGGUUAGAGAAUAAUAAACUCCAAGGUCCUCUUCCAUCUUCAAUAUUCCAACUUCUCAAUCUUACCUGGCUCAUCUUAUCCUCAAAUAAUCUUAAUGGUUUCUUAGAGUUUAGCAUGUUCUCAAACCUUGCAAAUCUCGAACAUCUUGAACUUUCAUAUAACAGCCUAUCUUUAACAUCUUAUACUACUUCUAGUGUUAACCAUAUAUUGCCUAAUCUUACAGACUUACUUUUGUCAUCUUGCAAUCUUAGUGAAUUCCCCCGAUUUUUAAAAGGGCAUAAAAGUCUGGUAAAUUUAGACCUCUCUUACAACAGAAUUGAAGGCAAGAUUCCACAGUGGAUGCAAGAGGUGGGCAAUGACUCUUUGUGGUAUUUAAAUUUAUCUCAUAACUCUUUGACAGAAGUUGAGCACUUUCCAUGGAAGAAUAUUGCAUUUCUUGACUUAAGCUCCAAUUUGAUCCGUGGAAAUCUUCCGAUUCCAGCUUCGACGAUCAGAAUCUUUUUGAUCUCAAAUAAUAGUUUCAAUGGAGAGGUCUCUUUUUCAAUAUGCAAUGCCAGUUCUCUUCAAAUUCUUGAUUUCUCCCACAAUAACUUGAGUGGAACAAUUCCGCAAUGUUUUGGAAAUUUGAGCAACAACCUUGAAUUCUUGAAUCUGAAGAAGAACAAGUUUUAUGGGACGAUUCCUCCAACAUUUGCACAGGGAUGCCAAUUGAGUAAUUUCAACUUAAAUGGAAAUCUGUUAGAAGGGCCUUUGACACCAUCCAUCCUUAAUUGUAAAGGUCUGGAAGUGCUAGAUCUUGGUAACAACAAGAUCAAUGAUACAUUUCCUCAUUGGUUGGGAAGUCUUCCACAACUAAAAGUUGUUGUAUUGAAGUCAAAUCAUAUGCGUGGUUCCUUGUGUGUCAAUAGCUCCAAGUCUAGCCCUUUUUUCUCUAAAAUCCAAAUUUUUGAUCUCUCAAGUAAUUAUUUUUCUGGACCCCUACCAGUGAGAUACAUCAACAGCUUCAAGGUUAUCAUAAAUCUAGAAAAGAUUGGUAGUACAGUGUCGUACAUGGGGGUGUAUGGCAAUAGUGCCUUCUAUACCUAUUCCAUUGGAAUUGUUAUGAAAGGACAAUAUACGGAAUUGGUGAAAAUUUUCACCAUGUGGAUGAUCAUUGAUGUAUCAAACAAUCAGUUUGAAGGGGAGAUUCCAAAGGUUAUUGGGAAGCUUAAUUUACUGAAAGGGCUCAACCUUUCUCAUAAUAACCUUAAUGGCGGUAUCCCCACCUCAAUAGGGGAUUUGACAAAUCUUGAAUGGUUGGACUUAUCUUCAAACAGGUUGUCUGGGACGAUUCCAAAAAGAUUGGCAGAUCUGCCAUUUCUUUCGUCCUUGAAUGUUUCUGAUAAUCAACUCCAUGGUCAGAUUCCUCAAGGCAAACAAUUCAACACAUUUGGAAAUGAUUCAUAUGAAGAAAAUAAGGGACUAUGUGGGUUUCCGGUCUUGAAAGGUUGCAACAUCAUUGAGCCAGCACCUCCAAAUGUGCUUGAAAAAGAUGGCUCAAAAUCAAACAUUGCUUUUGGUUGGAAAGUGCUUUUGAUAGGUUAUGGAUGCGGAGUAGUGUUCGGAAUGGCCGUGGGGUAUGUCGUUUUCCAAAUUGGUAAGCCGAAAUGGUUGGUGAACUUGGUUGAAAACCAACAUGAGAAGAGGCGAAGAAGAAAGUCAACGAAUGGCAAUCGCGAAAAUGGACGAAGAAGGAUCUAGUUGGUGGAAAUGAUGUUCAAGCGUUUAUGUUUUAUCUUCAUAAUUUCUUGUUUUGAAGUCUGUCGAAAUGUUUUUUUUUCCUAUGGUGAUGGGUUGCAUUCGCAUGCAUCUGUCUUUAUUAUUGUAACAAUUCAUCAGUAUUUUAUUGCAUUACGUAGGGGUUUAUUCUGAAUAUUUUAACAUUUUGUAUGGUGCAACGAUUUAUGUCUUCUUUCAUGAAUUACAAUUUUUAGUCUCAAUAAUCUCUGCUUUCAAGAUUCUGCAGUAAAAGCUUAGUUUCACGGACAUAGUAAUAUAAUGAAUUCAAACAUCAAUUGUCCUUAUUUCCUUUAGUUAGCUUAUUAAUUGGUGGAUCAAAUUUCUAGCAGUCUUCUUGCUCAACUCAUCAUCUUUGUCUCGAGUUAAACAUAGUCAAAACUAUAAAAUUUUCUUUUUGCGUGGAAAAUUAUUUGGCAUUCUGCAAAUUUCCACAAUGCUUGUUGAUUACCUCUGGUUGACAGCUAUACAUGUAUAGGAAGUAAGGAAGGAAGUCCAAGUCAAUAGGCACUGACAUUCUUAGUCUUCCACCCUUUGGGACCAAAUAUGAUGUGUUAUAGGAAACAAGAUCAUGUCCAGAGACAGUGACAAGUUUGUUUGAUGGAAGUAGCUCUUUUCACACUGCAGACUUGACCUUCAACACGUGAAUGUAAAAUUGGGUACUCGUACAUAUGUUCGAUUAUGCUUUAAACACAAAUAUCAAAUGCUUCAAAGACAAUGAAGAAACCAAUAAUAGAUAACAUGGUCGACGAUAUGAAGUUGAGGUACAAAAAUAAAGAUUAAGUGGUUUUACAAUGCCAAAAUAUUGCAACAACAAUGAGAUUAUAUAUUAUUGUAUAUAAUAGUGAUCGGUCUGGAACUUGAAUAUAUGCAGGUGGUACCGCAGGAGCACAUCUUAACAUAAGGCUAUGAUUGUUCCAUAAUUUUUAGUUUCAAAUUUUUGUACUCAUUAAUCUUUCCUAUUGUUUUGUAAGGUGUUGGUUGUUUAAUUAAAUUUCAUUUUUUUUUCGUUAACACACUUGGUCAAAUAUGCAAAAUCCACACAUAAAUGUUUAUACAAAUUUCCAUGGAACCAUCAAGACAAUCGCAAAAAUCAAAUUUGGGAAUUAAAAUUCUAACUUUAAUAUACCUGAACAUAUGGGAUACCCAAAAAAUUGCAAGCACAAGACCGAGAUAGUAUAUAGUUUCUGUGAUAUGCAUCCUUUGGCCCUUCAGUUGGGUACCCAGGCGGCGGCGUUGCAUCCUUUGGCCCCUCAGCGCACUCUCAACCUCACAAAUAGCCUCCCUAGGUUGUGCUGGAGAUCGAAGUUUUGAGCACCCAAUGAUCAAUCUUUAAUUUUUUGGCUUUGAAGAGAUUUUCUUGGAAAUAAAAAAAGAUUUGAGACGAGGAGAAAGAGAGAAGUGUUUUGGUGGUAGCUUAUAUUUGUCAUUAUGCACAUUGUUACCAAAAAAGUGAAUUGGUCCGAUUCGAUGAAUGAAAAUUAAAACGCAAACCACGGUUGAAAUUACGAUGAUAAGAAAGAAAGAAUUGCAGAGAACAAACAAAAGAUUUUUGCAACGAAACUGUCUGCAAAGGUUUUAUUUAUGUCACCAUAUUUUUUAAUAUAGUAAUAGGGGUUCUUAUAACAACAAAAAACUUCUAACUAUGGAGAGAAAUAAUUAACAAAGUUUUUAUGCUAAUAGAUAAUAAAUAUAUUAUGUUAAUAAAUUCUAAAUCUUCUAAUAAAUUCUAAAUUUGCAGGCAAGCUGUUAAAAUCCAGUUGCUUCUCAACUACAUGGUUAAUCUUUAAAGAGCUCGCAUCUAUUCUUGCGAUCCUAGUUUGUAUUUGUCUUGCAACCCCAAUUCGUUAAAGUAAUGAGCUCGCCACUUUGUGGUAGCCAAUCUGGAGGAGUUCGCCAGCCAUACAUACGGCAUGAACGAUCAUCUCCCAACAAUCACUAUUUAAAAAUAUGCACAGAAAUUGAAAUUCCAUGGAAGCAAUACCAAGUGGAUUGUUUGUUGUUGAGGUAAAUUAAACACACACAAUUUGUAAGCAUUUUAGUGUCAUAUGGAACUUAAUUUUUAUUUUUUAUUUUACCUACCGUCCCAAACUAAUUAAUCGAUCUUGUGAAAUUGUGUACUCCUACAUAUAUGUUUAAUGCAUCAAUGUGAAAUUUUCUCACCUAAUGAUCGUUUUCUCGAGUAAAUGUAAAUAGUCAAUACUGCAAAAUUUUCAUAUUAUUUGUGUGGAAUUCUGCAUGAUUGCUUGUGGAUUCUUAGGUUGGAACUAACAGUAAGAGGAAGCAAGUGCAGUUGAAGUCAAUAGACGCUAGCAGUCUUGGACCAAACUUUCAAAGUAAUUAUUUUACUGGACCACUAGCAGUGAGAUGCAUCAACAAUUUUAGGGUUAUCAUAAAUCUCUACAAUUGGGAUUGUUAUUAAAGGACAAGAUAGGGAAUUCAUGAAAAUUUUCACCAUGUGGACCAUCAUUGAUCUCUCAAAUAAUAAGUUUGAAAGAUAGAUUCCGAAGGUUAUUGGAAUUUUCACCAUGUUCAAGCAUUUCUAUUGUAUUUUCACAUAUAUAUUAAAAGAAAGAAGCUGCAAAAGCAUGUCAUUUAAGACUGCUUGUAGAAGAAAGCAACAGCUCAAUCCUGUGAGACUCCUAACCAAGCUUGAAUAAGCUGAAGGAGGAGUUUCAGGGAAAGUAUGUGAGCUUUCCAAUGUAAUCUGCAAGCUCAGCAAGAUGUCAAAGCUGCGAGCUUAGCGAGAAGUGCGAGUUAUGAGCUCAGCAAGUGGUGCGAGCUCAUCAAAAGGUGUGAGCCUGUUGAAGACACCUGUUGAAGACAAUAUGCAAAGAUGCGAAUCUGUCAAAGGUCUGAGCUCAGCAACAUGUGGAAGCUUAAUGUGAGUUGUAAAGUUGCAAGCUUGUUGAAGACAAUAAGCAAAGUGCGAACCUGUCAAAGUGUGAGCCCGUCGAAUUGCAAGCCAAAGUGGUGGACAGUCUAAAUGCAAACCUAAAUGGGUGCAAACCGAAGUGUCGAACGGUCUAAAUGCAACCUCGAGUAGGUGCAAGCCAAAAUGACAGACUGAAAGUAAGCAAACUAUACUCGCAAAUUGUAUAUGCAAGAAGAAACAGGAUUGUAAUUAAUAAGGGAACAAGGCAAGAUGUGUUGUCAACUAAGGCUAUGAAGGAGGAGAAUACUCUAUUUGAUGAACAAAUCUUUGGCACAAAAGACUGGUAUGGUCAAUUGUGUGAGUCAGAUUUGGUUGAAAAUGAUGCCAAGGUUGAAAAUGUAUUGCUAGAGCAGGUUUUGCUUGAAAAAAAGCAUCUUUUGAUUGCCAAGCUUAAAAAACUUGAUGAAUGUUUGGUAUUUGCAGUAUGGAGUCUAAGGAGGAGUGUUGAAAAUUGGCCAACUAUAUUGAUCGAUAUUUUUGGAUGAAGUGCAUGCAGCUUGUAAACAUGUUGCAGCACGUAUGCUUGCUGUAACAAUAAUGUUUUCUCUUUAGUUUCAUUGCAAUCAAACUAGUUGAAAAUGAACAAGCUGAUAACAGCUUGAUAUGUUUAGGUGUUGAAUGACUAGUUUAGGUGACUUGUUUAUGUGUACAAGCAAUGUUUAUCAAGUUACAAGGCUACUUAGUGGUAGUAAGUAGUAUUUGGUGAUGUAUUUGACUAUAAAAUGUAUUGAUUUUCUAGUUGAAUGAAUGAGAAAAAAUGAGCUAAAAGCCAUAAGCUCCCUUACAGCCUUGUCUUGUGUCCUGUAUUUCUUCCUCUGCUCCUACCAAAUCCCCAACAAUUUUGCCUUUAUGGGACCACAGUACCGUAAGCAUCGACAUCUAAGAAAAAGAAUGAUGGCAUGGAUUUUGGAUGCUGUACUUUACCAUCUGUUUUUUCCAACUGUAAUGUCCACUGACAUAUUUUCCUGCUGUUUAGGUUCAAUCUUAUAUCUUCAUCAUCUCUAAAGGAGAGAAUCACUAUCUUGCUUACUUGGAGGACAUGUACGAAGACAAGCACGGGCAGAUCUGGUGGUGAAGGUUAUUAAUUAUUCUCAUUCAGUUGCCUUAUGUUUCUUCAGAGUUUAAAAUUUAGGCCACUAAUUCAAAUUUUGUUUAUUGAACUGAAUUAAUUUAUACGCACUAGAGGAAAAUAUGUUUCUUAGAUACUAUUAUUCAGCAUAUAUAGGCCACACUGGUUUGAAUUUUUAAGGUGCUGUUUACUCUAAAACCUAUUAAUUUAUACAGACUUAGAGACUAUUUUUUUUAAUUGUAUGAUCUAGACAUGAGAUAUGAUUUUUCUUGUAUUAAUAUAGAAAGAAAGGAUAUAUAACUAUAAAGCACCAAUUUCAUCAGUUUUGUUUUUUUUCUAACAAUGAUUUAUAAUACUAAUUCGAGUAACAUAUAAUUCGAGAAUGAGAAUAUAGAAAUUAUUAGUUGAAAUGGAAAAUAAAGUGUUGAUAUUUUACAGAUUAGAGUUGAGUAUAACUAAUUGGUGUUGAAGUUGGGGUUAUGCAAUUGUUGGAAUUCAGAUGUGUAUUUUUUUGGGUAUCUGGGUCUUUCUCGCGUUUUGUUGGUUGGCUAUGGCCUUCUUGUUGCUUCCACUGUCUGUGGUCUUUGUUUCUAAGUCAUAUGUGACCUUGUUUGCUAGAACGUAUGUUGUCUCGUUGUUUCUAAGCUUUUAAUAUUAGAAAUGGAUGAAAUUUUUAACAGAAAUGACUAGUUUGUAUUUUGAUUUAACGUACAAGAACUACUUUGCAUAUUUUUCAGUAAAGGGGAUAAAAUGCAAUUUAAUUCUUAGUACAGGGGCCUCUACGAUACUUUUAUAGCUAUUCCAUUGAAAUUGUUAUGAAAGGACACUAUAUGGAAUUGGGGAAAAUAUAUAUUCGCCAUGUGGAUGUCAUUGAUUUAUCAAACAUUCAAUUUGAAGGGGAGGUUACAAAGGUUAUUGUGAAGUUUAACUUACUAAUUAAGGGCUCAAUCUUUAUCAUAAUAACCUUAAUGGUGGUAUCCCCACUUCAAUAGGGAAUUUGACAAGUCUUGAACGGUUGGACCUAUCUUCAAAUAGGUUGGUUGGGACGAUUCCAAAUAGAUUGAUAGAUCUGGCAUUUCUUUCGUCCUUAAAUGUUUCUGAAAAUCAACUCCAUAGUCAGAUUCCUCAAGGCAAGUAGUUCAACACAUUUAUGUAAUAAAUUAAUAUAACCCACACAUGCUUUGAAUUUUUAAGCAAUAAACUAAAGCACCAUGUUUCUUAGAUACUAUUAUUCUCUACGAUGUUAUAAUUAUAAUUGCAAUCAAUAUAUCUGUAUAACAAUAAUGAAUGUUUAAUUUUUUGAAGUAUCCGAAUGAAACCCUUUUUCAUUUUUAUUAAAAAAAAUACUAAGAAAAUAUCCAUUCAAUUGUUCAAUUUCAAUAAUAUACAAAUUAUAUAUAUUAUUAUCAAUUUACCUUCAAAUUUUGAAUAAUAACUUAUUUGGCCAUCUAACUUUAUAAAAAAGUCAUUUUAAUUCUUCAUUUAAUUUUUACCUCGUUUAGUCCUUAAACUUGCGCUAUUUGUCAAAUCACCCUAAAAUAGAUGAAAACUUUAAUGAUGUGGCAUAUCGUGGAUUACCACAUAAAUGCCACGUCAGCAAAUAAAUAAUUUUUUAAAAUUUAAAAUUUUCAAAAAUUACAAAAAAUUAUUAAAAAUAAAAAAUAAAAGUAUAAAAAUAUUUUUAUUUUUUAAAAAUUUAAUUAAUGGCUGACAUAACACACACAUGGAUUGUCACGUGAAUACAUGAAUAUCACGUCAGCAAUGUUAACAGACAUUAAUUGUUCCAUUAACAGACAUUCUUUAAGUAUUAUAGGGAAGAAAACUAAGUCAACUCACUUUGUAAUCUCAUGAAUGUUAAUUAUUUUAGUUGUUUAGGGAGUUCAAAUAAAAUACAAAAUUUUAGUAAAUACACUGAUGCAUAGGAAGCAAUACCAAGUCAAUAGACACUGACAUUCUUAGUCUUCCACCUUUGGGACGUAACUUGACCAAAAAAAUUGGAAUUUCAGGUUUAAAAUUGCUAAAUAUUAGAAGUUGGAAUUUAUCAAAAUUAGUAACAUUGAUGGUACAAAAGAGUUAGAAUUAUGUGUCUUGCCUUUUCUCACCACGUAUAUUGUGGUGUAAAUGUGGGAAUAUUUGGCAUGGUUUGCUGAUUAAGUUUGGCUGACCAUGAUAGGGUUUCAUUGACGUGAUAUUGGGGGAGCAGUUGAGGUACGAUUGGUGGAUCCCAUCUCCCUAUUUUCCUAUGAGUAGGGUUUAUGGGUGAUGCAAUUGGGGGUGUUGUAUCUCUACUUUUUUCCACUAACCAUAGUCAAAAUAAAAUAGGUUAGUAGUUACAAAAAUAGAGAAAUGGUCCUUCCACAAAAUACAAUAAUAAAAUGCAAAUCUAUUGAAUCAUAUCAAACACUAAAUAUUUAAAGGAUUACGGAAAAUACAAAAACAUCAAUUAUGUGUAGAAGAAUAAAACCAAUAAUUUAUUUUCUAAGCCAUUGAUUUCAAUGAUGUGGACUCCAUCUUUCCAUUACAAAAAUUAAAUUGAUUGUGCUAAAAACCAUAUAGAAGUUGACAGAAAAAUCAUCAAAAUUACAAGUGCAGUACAUAGAUUAAUCACAAUACAAAAUAGUUGCAUAUGAACCCUAAUUUGAUGAGACGCCAAUUAACUAUUAACGCAAAUUUAAGAGUAAAAAGAGACAAAAAAAAUUAAAUAGGAAUUAAAAUAAUUCUUUAAAUAAAAUUGGAAGGCCAAAUAUAUCAUUAUACAAACUUUUUUCUAAAAAAAUUCAUGUGAAGAAGAAAAUGCAGUUUCCCAGAUAAUUUUCUUGCAAUUAAUAGAAAAUGACAUAUUUAAUGCCAACCAAUGAAAUAUUUGGAGUUUUGUUGAAAAUAUGCUUCUUAGAUACAAUUACUCAACAUACAUAUGCCACAGUUAUGCAAUAAAAUAAAUUAAUAAAAGCCACACAUGCUUUGAAUUUUUAAGCAGUAAAUGAAAUAUGCUUCUUGAAUACAAUUAUUCAACACACAUGCCUUGAAUUUUAUGAAAUAAAAUAAAUUAAUAUAGGCCACACAUGCUUUGAAUUUUUAAUUCUACAUUGGUUAGCGUUGGUUGACAGCCAUACAUACCAAGUCAAUCGACACUCACAUUCUUUUAAGUAUUAUAGGGAAGAAGACUAAGUUAAUUUAUUUUGUAAUAUUAUGAAUGUUAAUUAUUUUAGUUGUUUAGAGAGUUCGAAUGAAAUACAAAAUUUUGGUUAAAAAGAGUACCCAAUUUUGUGAAUGAAAAAUAUAUGGUAAAAAUGAAGUAGUUGUUGUCUUGUUGAUGACUAUGAAAAAUAUAAGUUUUCAAUAUCAGCAAUUCAAACUCUUCCAAUAAAAAUCUUUAUACCAUAAAAGAAAAAACACUGUAAUAGUAAUGUUGUGGUGUUAAUAAAUACCAUUCUCACCAUUCCUAUCCUUCAUCUUACUCUACAAACAUAACAUGGCCUCCUUACUCUUUCUUUGCCUAUUCCUCUUCUUUCCCCAUCUUUAUGCUUCUUCUUCAGGAUCUCACUCCUGCUCUUCACUAAUCCAAUUCAAGAACUCUUUUUCCAUCACUAAGACACCGCUUGCUGCUUGGUAUUGCGAUGAGAUUGCAGGCCUUAAAUCUUAUCCCAAGACAAAUUCAUGGAAGGAGGGUACAGAUUGCUGCUCAUGGGAUGGGGUCACUUGUGACCACCUAAAUGCUCAUGUUAUUGCCCUCGACUUGAGCUGCAGUUGGCUAUAUGGUAACUUCCCUUCCAAUACCACUCUCGUCCUUCUUCCUCACCUUCAAAAACUCAACCUUGCUUACAAUGAUUUCAAUGAUUCCAAAAUUCCAUUUGAAUUUGGUCAGUUUACAAGCCUAUACUACCUCAACCUUUCCAGUGCAGGAUUUGUAGAAGUCCCAUCCCAAGUCUCCCACCUGUCAAAAUUGGUUUCACUUGAUCUCUCUUUCAAUUUUUUCCAACCAAUUGAUAAACAUGCUGUGGAGGGACUUGUUCACAACCUAACCGAGAUCAGACAUCU
RNAcentral lists this long non-coding RNA (11012 nucleotides) under Gossypium barbadense (sea-island cotton). Its description in RNAcentral is "long non-coding RNA (GBAR_LNC002812)". The record is from RNAcentral. Lineage: Eukaryota; Viridiplantae; Streptophyta; Magnoliopsida; Malvales; Malvaceae.